Plutella xylostella (diamondback moth) is the source of this 1068-nucleotide long non-coding RNA. RefSeq lists it as uncharacterized. Lineage: Eukaryota; Metazoa; Arthropoda; Insecta; Lepidoptera; Plutellidae. The record is from RefSeq and is a predicted model, not a curated record.
CGUACUCCCACCGCACAUGUUUGCGGCUCAUUGUGUUAUGACGUCACGCAAACCGUUCAGUGAAAAUUAUAGCGUUACUAAGCCAGAAAUUCGCACCACGAGCUCAUCACACAGAGUAGAUUAUAAUGUCAAAAUUGCACUGAGCCGCCCCUUUGAAAAAAGUUCCUAUUCUUGCAACGCAAAGCCAUAACAAUGGCUAAUUUUCCUAUUUUUGUAAGAAAAAGAGCCUGUAAUUAUACCUACAAAGUGGUGUGAAAGUAGUUACUGAGGAUACGUGAGGAUUGCAAACCAGUCUCCCUGGAUAUUCAAAGGAGUUGACGGACAAUUUGAUUGAAGACUUUAGCUCCAUGAAACUAGCUGAUUUUAGCGUAACAAAUAAGGUUUUUACUGCGUUGCAACUGGCUCCAGACUGGAAUUUAUAACCAAGACUAAAUAUUCAAGUGCCUAUCUGAAGUACUUAACAACAAGUUGUAUUAAGAUCUUAUGAAGUUAAUACCUACAUAAGAAACUAAAUUGGCAUAUCAUUCUGCUACUGAGUAAGUCACUUAAGCUGAUAAACACUUUAAUUUUAUGAUGCACUGAAAGUAUGAAAAAUAAUUUACUUGGCUUGCUUAUCUAGAUUCUCUAUCUAUAUAAAAUAUUAUUUGAUUCAUCUGUUUUCUAAGUACCUUAGAAUUAAACUGUAGUGCUGCGGUGGGUAUCUUUUGUAGUAAAAAAAUAUACCUAUGCUGGCUCAAUCUCCACCUACUACAGAAACAAGACUAUCUAUUCUUGGACCAACAGAAAGCCUAUUUCAGCUAUUGGAACACCCAGGCUUGCUGCUCCAUUUUACUCGAGAGCUAGGCUGGCUGAGCUAAAAUUAAGGGGUUAUGUACAAAGGUUCCACUCAAGAGAGCCACGUACAGGAGCUUCACCACCUCUCAGAAUAGAAUAGAAAAUCUACUAAAUAAAAUAAUCAAGAAGCAGUUUUUUAGCUAAUAGAAGAGAAGCUUAUGCUUGAUAUUUCAGAACACUAAUAAUAAUUGUGAUGUGAUUUAAUAUAUGAUGAAACACAAAAUACAGCAAAAA